This is a long non-coding RNA of Mirounga angustirostris (Northern elephant seal), 526 nucleotides long. RefSeq lists it as uncharacterized. The transcript has 4 exons. Lineage: Eukaryota; Metazoa; Chordata; Mammalia; Carnivora; Phocidae. The record is from RefSeq and is a predicted model, not a curated record.
UGGCGGCGGAGGAGGUGAUGGCUGCAGCCACUCCCUUCCUGGGCUGCGGUGCGCCGCCGGGGGCGCUGCCGCUGUGGGCUCGCCCCGCUCUUGCAGGAAAACAGCUGGAGUCGAGAGGGAGCGGCUUUUCGAAAACCUGCUCCGCGAACAAAGCGUAAUGUGCAUGCCGAAUCUUUGGCCUUGGAGGCGUGGCACUGAGAUGGAUCAAAAUGUCUCUCCUUUUGCUUCAAAAUAGUCCACUGGGGAAUGGAGUGUGGACUGGAGAAAGGUGGAAACAAAAAUGUCCCUGUGUUGGUAACUAGGUUAAGGUAUGCAAAUGAGAAGAAUGGAAUUCUUUGGGAUGAUAUUUUGCUUAAUUAGGAUCAAGGGGCGCCUGGGUGGCUCAGUCGUUAAGUGUCUGCCUUCGGCUCAGGUCAUGGUCCCAGGGUCCUGGGAUGGAGCCCCACAUUGGGCUCCCUGCUCGGCGGGGAGCCUGCUUCUCCCUCUGCCCUCCCCCUGCUUGUGUUCCCUCUCUUGCUGUGUCUCU